UGGGACCACCAUCAUAGUGUCCGCCGGCCCAACUCCGUCCUUGGAGUUCUUUGCCGGCAAAACUUCCCGGGGUUUGUCACGUUGCCUGGUGAGGGUCGGCUUCCAGAGCUUGGGUUGAGCUGGGAGCACUACGUGGCUGCCCCGGCCCCGCCGGAUGUCAUUAUCGACGGUGUCGUGUGUGACACGAGGGCAGACAUGGUGAUCAGGACGUUCUGGACAUUCUACAGGUGUGAGGAGGGAUACGAGGAGGACAGCGCAAAUGUUAUCCAGAACGUCUGCAAGCGCCUACUCCAGAACUUA
RNAcentral lists this ribosomal RNA (300 nucleotides) under Triticum aestivum (bread wheat). Its description in RNAcentral is "partial small subunit ribosomal RNA". The record is from RNAcentral. Lineage: Eukaryota; Viridiplantae; Streptophyta; Magnoliopsida; Poales; Poaceae.